CACGCUCCCACACACACACACACACACCACACACAAAAAAAUACUAACUACACUGUAAACAUGAGAAAGCUGACAGUGUUGGUGGUUGCUCAGUUCGGUUCCAUGGAGUCCAGUGAUCAUUAUAUUGCAAUGCUACUGAAUGUUAUUCAUUAUCCAUGAUGGAAAUGUCCAUAAAGCAGCCCUCUAAGUUAAUAUUAACAUAGUAACUACAAUCAUGAUCCACCACUAUCAUGUCAUUAGUGAUUAUACUAGAAUUUGCACAGUUUGCACAACUUGAUCUCAUAUUACAUUUAAAAUAAAAGCAGAAAAAACAUUAUUUGAGAAAGCUGACAGUAGUUUCAUUAAAUGCAGAGAAAUUGUGUUACAAUUGAGUGUAUAAUGAAAUUACCAUUUCUAAUGAAAUAUUGAACAAUAAAUAUCAAGUAUGUUGUUGGGUUUGAAAUGAAUAUUAGUCUGUAACCACAAUGUUUACAAGCACGUUUGUGACAACAAAUAACACUGAAAAGAACUCCGUAUGGAUUACAGUGAAAAAAGAUGCAGAUUAAAAGUUUCAUCAAGGCUCAUACAACAUACUCUUUGAGUAGUCUCCAGUUAGACCAACAUUAAUGCUUCAUGUGUUUGAUUCUAUGCAAACUCAGUGAUCCUCCUUGUUUCUCAGCUAUAAAAACUUCACAUCAGACUGUCAGUGGAGAUCACAGCACAUCAGUUUCACCAUAAACCAUGUUCUCUGUAGCUCUGCUGCUGCUGUUGGCAGCUGGAUCCUGUGUGAAGUGUGAACAGUUGACACAGCCAGCCUCAGUGACUGUGCAGCCAGGUCAACGUCUGACCAUCACCUGUCAGGUCUCUUAUUCUGUUAGCAGCUAUUGGACAGCUUGGAUCAGACAGCCUGCAGGGAAAGGACUGGAGUGGAUUGGAAGUAGAAUUGGAUCCACCACAGCCUACAAAGAUUCACUAAAGAACAAAUUCAGUAUCGACUUAGACUCUUCCAGCAACACAGUGACUCUAAACAGACAGAAUGUGCAGCCUGAAGACACUGCUGUGUAUUACUGUGCCAGAUACCCACAAUAA
This is a non-coding RNA of Thunnus maccoyii (southern bluefin tuna), 1068 nucleotides long. Lineage: Eukaryota; Metazoa; Chordata; Actinopteri; Scombriformes; Scombridae. The record is from the annotation of a RefSeq genome assembly.